AGCGGCGGACGGGGGAGUAACGCGUGGGUAACCGUGCCUCAUACAGGGGGAUAACAGUUGGAAACGGCUGCUAAUACCGCAUAAGCGCACAGUACCGCAUGGUACCGUGUGAAAAACUCCGGUGGUAUGAGAUGGACCCGCGUCUGAUUAGCUAGUUGGUGGGGUAACGGCCUACCAAGGCGACGAUCAGUAGCCGACCUGAGAGGGUGACCGGCCACAUUGGGACUGAGACACGGCCCAA
This 241-nucleotide ribosomal RNA is filed under the name uncultured bacterium. RNAcentral describes it as "partial 16S ribosomal RNA". It matches the Rfam family "Bacterial small subunit ribosomal RNA", at positions 94 to 334 of the family's 1533-position model. The record is from RNAcentral.